This 855-nucleotide ribosomal RNA is filed under the name uncultured bacterium. RNAcentral describes it as "bacterial SSU rRNA". It matches the Rfam family "Bacterial small subunit ribosomal RNA", at positions 8 to 859 of the family's 1533-position model. The record is from RNAcentral.
AGAGUUUGAUCCUGGCUCAGGAUGAACGCUGGCGGCGUGCUUAACACAUGCAAGUCGAACGGAGCGCCGGACACGGACUAUUUCGGUAGGAAGCGUGCGGAGGCUUAGUGGCGGACGGGUGAGUAACGCGUGGAUAACCUGCCGCAUACCGGGGGAUAACAGCUGGAAACAGCUGCUAAUACCGCAUAUGCCCGCAGUGCCGCAUGGCACAGCGGGGAAAACUCCGGUGGUAUGCGAUGGGUCCGCGUCUGAUUAGGCAGUUGGCGGGGUAACGGCCCACCAAACCGACGAUCAGUAGCCGGCCUGAGAGGGCGGACGGCCACACUGGGACUGAGACACGGCCCAGACUCCUGCGGGAGGCAGCAGUGGGGAAUAUUGCACAAUGGGGGAAACCCUGAUGCAGCGACGCCGCGUGAAGGAAGAAGUAUCUCGGUAUGUAAACUUCUAUCAGCAGGGAAGAAAACAGACGGUACCUGACUAAGAAGCCCCGGCUAACUACGUGCCAGCAGCCGCGGUAAUACGUAGGGGGCAAGCGUUAUCCGGAUUUACUGGGUGUAAAGGGGGCGCAGACGGCCAUGGCAAGCCCGGUGUGAAAGGCAGGGGCAUAACCCCUGGACUGCACUGGGAACUGUCAGGCUGGAGUGCCGGAGGGGUAAGCGGAAUUCCUGGUGUAGCGGUGAAAUGCGUAGAUAUCAGGAGGAACACCGGCGGCGAAGGCGGCUUACUGGACGGCAACUGACGUUGAGGCCCGAAAGCGUGGGGAGCGAACAGGAUUAGAUACCCUGGUAGUCCACGCCGUAAACGAUGUAUACCAGGUGUCGGAUAUCAAGGAUAUCCGGUGCCGAAGCAAACGCA